RNAcentral lists this small nucleolar RNA (186 nucleotides) under Daucus carota subsp. sativus. Its description in RNAcentral is "snoRNA Plant_U3". Lineage: Eukaryota; Viridiplantae; Streptophyta; Magnoliopsida; Apiales; Apiaceae. The record is from RNAcentral.
UGUAAACAAACACAGGCUCCAUUCCCUGGACAAUGUGGUGGAGGCAGGUGACCAAGUCUGGUUGAUGAAACAUGACUGCAUGACCAGAGCGUGAUUAACAGCCAGUUUGGUCAGUUGACCAUUCAAGUAGUAGAGGAUCGUUCUCAGCUGGAGUCCCUGGCUGGGGUGGUCGUUGUCUGACAGACU